This 407-nucleotide long non-coding RNA is filed under the name Pan troglodytes (chimpanzee). RNAcentral describes it as "long non-coding RNA NONPTRT015626". The record is from RNAcentral. Lineage: Eukaryota; Metazoa; Chordata; Mammalia; Primates; Hominidae.
CUCAGAGAGACUGAGAAAGUGAAAAAUGUGUUCUAAUGACUCACGCUGCUAAGAAGAAAAACAAUCCAGACUUGGAGCCCAUUAAGAAGGGAGAACAGGUUGAAAUUUUGAAGAGUGGCACCAUAGGAGAGCAGUUUUCAAAGUGUGAUCCAGGCACCAGCAGAUGGAGGAAUUAGUGAAAAGCCAGGGAAGUUAGAGGCCUGGGUCUGUGCCACCGGGCAGCCCCAAGGACAGGAAGUCAGCUCCUCUCCUGCUGGUGUUAAGAGGGAUGAGUGGAGAGCAGAAGACUGGAGCGAUGACAGUUGAUGCAGACAGUGCUGGAAGUUUGCCAACUUCGAUUUGGGUAUAUCAAUGCAUUUGCAGAAAAAAUAGACUGAAUCUUAAGAAUAAAGCACCAAGUAUUAGUG